UACGGAGGGUGCAAGCGUUAAUCGGAAUUACUGGGCGUAAAGCGCACGUAGGUGGCUGCUUAAGUCGGAUGUGAAAGCCCUGGGCUCAACCUGGGAAUUGCAUUCGAUACUGAGCGGCUAGAGUACGAUAGAGGGAGGUAGAAUUCCACGUGUAGCGGUGAAAUGCGUAGAUAUGUGGAGGAAUACCGGUGGCGAAGGCGGCCUCCUGGAUUGAUACUGACACUGAGGUGCGAAAGCGUGGGGAGCAAAC
Molecule: ribosomal RNA, 250 nt
Filed under: uncultured bacterium
Lineage: Bacteria
Also listed under: 1 other name
Description: partial 16S ribosomal RNA
Rfam family: Bacterial small subunit ribosomal RNA
Source: RNAcentral